This 460-nucleotide ribosomal RNA is filed under the name uncultured bacterium. RNAcentral describes it as "partial 16S ribosomal RNA". It matches the Rfam family "Bacterial small subunit ribosomal RNA", at positions 338 to 795 of the family's 1533-position model. The record is from RNAcentral.
CCUACGGGGGGCAGCAGUGAUGAAUAUUGGUCAAUGGACGCGAGUCUGAACCAGCCAAGCCGCGUGAAGGAUGACGGCACUAUGUGUUGUAAACUUCUUUUGUAAGAGGAUAAACGCAGGUACGCGUACCUGUCUGAAUGUACCGUAAGAAUAAGGAUCGGCUAACUCCGUGCCAGCAGCCGCGGUAAUACGGAGGAUUCAAGCGUUAUCCGGAUUUAUUGGGUUUAAAGGGUGCGUAGGCGGUCGGUUAAGUCAGGGGUGAAAGCCCGAGGCUCAACCUCGGCAUUGCAGUUGAUACUGGCAGUCUAGAGAUUAGGUGCGGUAGGCGGAAUGCGUGGUGUAGCGGUGAAAUGCUUAGAGAUCACACAGAACUCCGAUUGCGAAGGCAGCUUACCAAGCUACCUCUGACGUUGAGGCACGAAAGCGUGGGGAUCAAACAGGAUUAGAUACCCGAGUAGUC